CUGUUGGGUAGGGGAGCGUUGUGUAAGCGGAAGAAGGUUCAUUGAGAGGUGGGCUGGACGUAUCACAAGUGCGAAUGCUGACAUAAGUAACGAUAAAACGGGUGAAAAACCCGUUCGCCGGAAGACCAAGGGUUCCUGUCCAACGUUAAUCGGGGCAGGGUGAGUCGGCUCCUAAGGCGAGGCUGAAAAGCGUAGUCGAUGGGAAACAGGUUAAUAUUCCUGUACUUGGUAAAGCUGCGAUGUGGGGACGGAGUAGGUUAGGUUAUCGCACUGUUGGAUAUGUGCGUUUAAGUUGGUAGGUGGGAAGUUUAGGCAAAUCCGGACUUCCUUAACACAGAGAGAUGAUGACGAGGCUCUACGGAGCUGAAGUAACUGAUACCACACUUCCAGGAAAAGCCACUAAGCGAAAGGCUUUACUAAACCGUACUGAAAACCGACACAGGUGGUCAGGUAGAGAAUACUCAGGCGCUUGAGAGAACUCGGGUGAAGGAACUAGGCAAAAUAGCACCGUAACUUCGGGAGAAGGUGCGCCGGCGUAGAUUGUAAGGGCUAGCCCCUGAAGGUUGAACCGGUCGAAGAUACCAGCUGGCUGCAACUGUUUAUUAAAAACACAGCACUCUGCAAACACGAAAGUGGACGUAUAGGGUGUGAUGCCUGCCCGGUGCUGGAAGGUUAAUUGAUGGUGUAAUCGCAAGAGAAGCACCUGAUCGAAGCCCCAGUAAACGGCGGCCGUAACUAUAACGGUCCUAAGGUAGCGAAAUUCCUUGUCGGGUAAGUUCCGACCUGCACGAAUGGCAUAAUGAUGGCCAGGCUGUCUCCACCCGAGACUCAGUGAAAUUGAAAUCGCCGUGAAGAUGCGGUGUACCCGCGGCUAGACGGAAAGACCCCGUGAACCUUUACUAUAGCUUGACACUGAACAUUGAAUUUUGAUGUGUAGGAUAGGUGGGAGCCUUUGAAGCAGUGACGCCAGUCAUUGUGGAGGCGACCUUGAAAUACCACCCUUUAACGUUUGAUGUUCUAACGAAGAUGACGAAACGUGGUCUCGGACAGUGUCUGGUGGGUAGUUUGACUGGGGCGGUCUCCUCCCAAAGCGUAACGGAGGAGCACGAAGGUUUGCUAAUCACGGUCGGACAUCGUGAGGUUAGUGCAAUGGUAUAAGCAAGCUUAACUGCGAGACAGACAAGUCGAGCAGGUACGAAAGUAGGUCAUAGUGAUCCGGUGGUUCUGAAUGGAAGGGCCAUCGCUCAACGGAUAAAAGGUACUCCGGGGAUAACAGGCUGAUACCGCCCAAGAGUUCAUAUCGACGGCGGUGUUUGGCACCUCGAUGUCGGCUCAUCACAUCCUGGGGCUGAAGUAGGUCCCAAGGGUAUGGCUGUUCGCCAUUUAAAGUGGUACGCGAGCUGGGUUUAGAACGUCGUGAGACAGUUCGGUCCCUAUCUGCCGUGGGCGUAGGAGAAUUGGUUGGGGCUGCUCCUAGUACGAGAGGACCGGAGUGGACGCACCACUGGUGUUCCGGUUGUGUCGCCAGACGCAUUGCCGGGUAGCUAAGUGCGGAAGAGAUAAGUGCUGAAAGCAUCUAAGCACGAAACUUGCCAAGAGAUGAGUUCUCCCAAUCUAAGAGAUAGUAAGGGUUGUUGUAGACUACGACGUAGAUAGGUCUGGUGUGUAAGUGUAGUGAUACAUUGAGCUAACAGAUACUAAUUGCCCGAGAGGCUUAACUAUACAACGCUCAAGUGUUUUUGUGAAAGAGCGAAAGAGAAGGCUAGACAAACAAAUCAAAUAAGAAG
This 1787-nucleotide ribosomal RNA is filed under the name Haemophilus influenzae PittHH. Its description in RNAcentral is "bacterial LSU rRNA". It matches the Rfam family "Bacterial large subunit ribosomal RNA", at positions 1221 to 2925 of the family's 2925-position model. The record is from RNAcentral. Lineage: Bacteria; Pseudomonadati; Pseudomonadota; Gammaproteobacteria; Pasteurellales; Pasteurellaceae.